Long non-coding RNA from Thalassophryne amazonica, 2084 nucleotides. RefSeq lists it as uncharacterized. The record is from RefSeq and is a predicted model, not a curated record. NCBI's taxonomy places the organism in Eukaryota, Metazoa, Chordata, Actinopteri, Batrachoidiformes, Batrachoididae. The transcript is spliced from 4 exons.
UUCAAAUCACAGCCUCAGUUUUGUAAUAUUUUGUGUAUAAUCUGAGUAUAUAAGAUGCAGGCUUUUGUGUAAAGCCCCUCAGACUUACUGUGAGUAAAUUUCAUCUUACUGUGAGUAAAUGUCAUCUAUUACAUAUAGGCUGUGUGACACAUAUUUCUGGCCAUGAUCCAGAACGCAGAUACCUCAGUGCUGAUGACUCCAGCAACUGGAAAAGUCUAAGGAGACAUCCACAUUUCACUUGGUUGCAAAAGAAAAAUGGUUCAUUUUGAGGAGGGCAUGGGGAUUGGCCAUCUGGGUGGGUGCCAUCCAAAACCCCAGGCAGUUCUGUAGCAUACUGCAUACCGCAAAGCAUAGCACCAUUGCAUGACCUCUAUAACCAGACCUCACCUGGUUAUAGAGGUUCAAUUUUUUUUUAAACAACGACCAAGAGUCUAUUUUACUUAUUGUUUAUGUUGUGUAUUUAUUUGGUGAUUUAUUUAGGAUAUUUCGGUGUUCCCAAUUCCAUUUCCAAUAUCUGAAUAUACUUAAUAGUUCAUUGCUCUUUGAACAUCAGUGUCAUAUAAAAACGUUUUAAAAUGAAUGUAACAUCAUUUAUUGCAAUUACUUCUGAAAAUAACUUCUAUGCAUUUGUUGUCCAACACAAGUAUUUUCAUAACUACAACAGUUUUGGAAUCUUUGUACUAUCAUUUGUUUGGUGACAUCUGGCAACACUGUCAGCAUUCAUCUGUAAAAGAAUACAGAUGGUCAAAUUGUAAAGUUUGUUGUCGAGAACCCCUGGACUAUGGGUGGGUGUUAAUUAAACAGUAUCAUCUCUAUGAUGUCACCAAUCUACAGCCAUCCGACAAACUCAUCUCCACAUCAAAGCAUCAUGUUUCCUGCGUGUGCUCCUGUGUGCACCCAUGCUCAUUUUGAAGUAUAAUUUGGUUUUCUGACAUUUCUGAAGGGACACACUUUUUUUGUUUAAUUUCCAAACAUGACAUCUGAUUAUUUUAUUUCCACUCUUUCAUACCUGAAGUACACAUUUUGGCAUUUUCUCACCAUUGUGAUUUUCUUGUACUUCCUUUUUGGUUCAUAAGCCAUUCGCCAGUGCUUUCCACAGCCAUUUGUUUUCUCGCCUCCAAGGAGAAAAAGUGUUGCCUUUUCUCCUCGCUUUGUUCCGUGAAGUAUUUAGUUUUUGCUUUCUCCUUGCUCUGUUCCUUGGAGACGGCAGCUGUUUUCAGAGAGGGCUUAAGGAUGCAAUGAGAGAGAAAAAAGAUGUCUGGCUAUUUUUAAAAGAUAUUUUGUUUUCUAAGUUGUUCUCAUUUUUUUCUCUCUCUCUCUCAGAUGUUGGAAGAAUGACAUUUGCAUUUAUAAAACGUGUUAAAAUGUGCUUUUAAAAGUGCACACUGCCAUUCCGUACCUGAUAACAUGCAGCACAAAGAACGCUGUGGUGCAUGCGCGUGCGCGCACACAGACAAACAGCGUGUAUUUCAGCGACAUACUGCCUCUCAUUUCGCCCUCUAAAAGUCAAAGCUGAGAGAGGGGCAAAGCACUACCCAGACAAAUGUGACACUUUCACACUUGUCUGCAUGGUUUAUUUCCAAUUUUUUUUUAAUCUCAUUGUGCUCAGUCUUCAUGCUGCUUGAUUCAUUUUCAUCCUCUCAUUGUUUGACAAAAUAAUUCCUUUCUUUCUAUUUCAUCUCUCUAAGUUGUGUACUUAUAAAUUCAAUCCCGACCCACUUUAAAUGCCCAUGCCCGCGCUCUCUCUUUCAUUUGUCCAUUCGUUAAAAACCGGCACAGAGGUUACUGGAGGAUUUCAUCUUUUCUUCACAGCCUGGCUGCCGCGAACAGUCAGUGUCACAGUUGGGGGUGCGUUUAAGGUGCUGUCCCCUCUAAUGGUGUUGUCGUGGCCUGGCCACUGUCUGCACGCUCUGGGCAAACUGUGGGCAGGAAAUGAGCUGGCACGAGUGGAUGGAAGGUAUUCUUUAAAGCCAUGGCCCCUUUCUCAGGCUAUUUGCUGUCUAAUAAAGCAGAGGCUGCUGAGGUCAAUGCGGUUGGAGAUAUUACAUAAUGUAAAGCUCAACAUGGAUAGCAUCCCUGGGAGG